This is an RNA transcript of Sciurus carolinensis (gray squirrel), 4956 nucleotides long. It is a transcript of the gene named mitochondrial sheath formation associated, with no coding region annotated. The transcript has 4 exons. NCBI's taxonomy places the organism in Eukaryota, Metazoa, Chordata, Mammalia, Rodentia, Sciuridae. The record is from RefSeq and is a predicted model, not a curated record.
GGAUCUUCCGUGGGCUUUGUCUUCCUUCCUAUAUCUACUCAGGUCUUUCAUUCAGCUAUUUAGCACCUACGUUGCUGUCAGGCAUAGCGCUAGGUGAAGGGCAUACAAAAAAGUGCAGUCUCUGCCUUCAAAAGAGCUCCCAACAGCAAAGUUUGUAAAUAACUACUCCACAAUGUGGUAAGCUAUUUUUGAAAGCAGGUGAGAGGAAAGAGUGAGUCAGACUUCCACGCAGUGACUGAGUCUUAAAAAGGAUGAGGAAAAAGAGCAGGCCAUUUCAGCAGAAAGGAAGGCGUGAUGCACAGGGACAAUGUGUCUGGAGCUGUUUGGGGCCAGUGAAGAGCGUGGCGUGAGAAGCACUCUUGCGGGUGGAAGCUGGGGAGUAGCGGGUAGAGCGAAAGCCCAGGCCUCGGUGGAGCACGGUGGCUUCGCCCCCACGGCCUCCCCGGGGCCGCGGCUCAGAGCCGGCUUCUGACCAGCCGGUCUCCGCUCCAAACCGAGAAACGCGAGGCGUGGCAGCCCGGCCGGGGCCGGGAAACCCUCCCUCCCGAUCCCCGCGUCCCAGACCUGGCCCGGCGGGCUGUCCACACCUUGCCAAGCAGCCGUUUCACACUCUCGCAGUCGAACUCCAUCUCUGGCCAGAGCCCCGAGCAAGGUGGCAGGACCCCAGCCCCUGAACCUUCUUCCGCCACCGCUCCAAGACGGAAGCCGCGGAGGACCAACCCGGCCCAGCAGUCCGAGGCCCGCCCCUUCCCAGACGAAAUUCCAGCCGCGUGACGCCGCAGGCUCAGCUGGGACUCCGCAGAAGCGCAUCCUGGGUGGACGCAGAGCAGGCAGCCUCCAACUCUAAAGUGGAAACAGAAGUGGCCCAUUCGUGAGAGCAAGGCACGACGGAGGAGCCGGGCUUUGGAGGAAGAUCUGUCAUUGAACGAUGUGGAAGGGAUUUAAAUAUCCCCCAGGAGGGACCCCUGUGGAAGUAAGCAAGGAUGAUCCUGGUGAAGUAAUGCAGCUCUGAAGCUCACCUGACUAGCUGUACAGUUCCUGUUGUUGGUUUCUCAUAAAGUAAUUGCACAUUAUUUUGUCAUAUUUUAUGUCCAAUUCCGCACUUUUUAAGAUGAACAGACUUGGUAUUAGCUUAUAACAGGAAAGCGGAGGGUAAGGAGUUAGUCUAGGUAGGUGGGAGAUGAUUGGGUCCCUUCUGUUUCUAAGGCAAUUUUGUGUCCCUUACUCAGUUUCCUUAAGGAUAGAAAUUCUCUAGAGCUCUUUAGACCCAUUUUCCAAAUAAUAUUCUCUUAAGUACAGGGUCCAGACAUGAAAAAAUGUUAACAGAGAAAAGGGAUAGAGUUUAUAGUAACUUUAAGCCUGUUCUUUUUAGGCAUUUCUCCAUAGCCUCUUGUUAUUACGAAGAACACAGUUUACCCCAUGUGGGGAAAGGAACUCACUUUAAAAUUGAGGGCAGAUACUAUAAUAUGCAUAUUUUAAUCCUUACAGUAGCCUUCUGAAACUCAGUAUUAAUUUUGCAGUGUGGCAUAAAUUGAGGCUUAAGUAUCUUGCGCACCCACACACACAGCUCUGGGUUGCAGUCAAGAUUAAGACCCAGGCUUUGUCCAGUACAUGCUUUUUAUGUGCUAAGGCAAGUCAAAUGAGAGACUCAGAUAUCUGAGAUUUUACUGCCUAAAUGUCUCCAUCACCUGAAAAGCCAAGAAACUGCCUGAUGAUUCUUUAGAGGCAGUAUAUGUAGAAACGAAAGCUAAUGGCUCAGCCCUCAAAAUGAGAACUAGGUUAUUAAUAAAUUUAGGUUUAGGAGCCCUAGAAUUUUUUUGUGGUGCUGGGGAUUGAACACAGGGCCUCACAUAUGGUAGACCAGCAUUUUACCACUGAGCUACACCCCCCCAGCCCUGAACCCAAGGAUCUUUAUAAGCCCUCUGAAGGUGGUUUGAGGGUUUCAGUUAACACACAGGGAGUGGGAGCACAAGUUAGGGAUGAUAGUUCCAUUGUAGAGAAAUGCAUCCUUUCCAGCAAAGCAGAUCUUUUGGUUAUAUGUUAUGGUUUGGAUGUGAGAUGUCCCCAAAAUGUUCAUGUGGCAAAUGCAGGAAUGCUCAGAGGCAAAAUGAUUAUAGAUUAUGAAAGCUGCAACCUAAUCAGUGGAUUAAUCCACUUAAUGGUUUAAUUUGAAUGGAUUACUAGGUUAACUAACUGUAGGCAGGUGGGAUGUGGCUAGAGGAAGUAGGUCAUUGGGGUGUGCCUUUGGGGAUUACGUAUCUUGUCCCUGGCUCCUCACUGUCUCUUUUCUUCUGGGCUGCUCUGAGCUUAGCAGCUUUUCUCUGCCAACAUUUUUGUCAUGAUACUCUGCCUCACUGUGGGCCCAGAACAAUGGAGUCAGCUUACCAUGGACUGAGACUUCUGAAACUGUGAGCUCAAAAUAAAUUUUUCCUCCUCUAAGUUGCUCUAGUCAGAUAUUUUGGUCACAGUGACAAAAAGGUAACACACAAGGUUAUUCGGUACACAUUUACUAAACUAUUUUAAGUGGCUUUUCACAAUGAAUGGAUCAUCCUUUUUUGGGAAAAGAAAAUGAAUUCAAAAUUCAUAAACACAACUACUAUAAUUUCUGAAUGUAUUAUUCUAGCCACUUUACAGCUGUCUUAACUUGGGUGUCUGAGAGCACAACAGUACUUAGGCUGGUAGAAGAGAGGUAUCAGUGGUAGGGGCUGAAGAGACAUGAAAGUAUGGUGGAGAACAAGCUAAGAUAGGGUGUUCAGGAGACAAACCCAACCCCCAAAGCUUCAAAAGUCUACUGAGAUUUCUAGCUCGAAAAAUGUUUAAUAUGAUGAGAAAAGGAAUAGCUCAAAGUUUUGAUCAAUAAAUGCAAAUCACUAAAAAUAACAAUAAAAUAUCUUUAAUGCCUACAAUUUCUUGUAUACAUAAAUUGCAAAACAUUCACCUGUAUAUGCAAAAGUAUUUUCUCUUGCAGGUCAACAGCACCAGAAAACAAGCUAAGCCUAUGUAAAGGGUUUUUUUUUUGUUUUGUUUUUGUUUUUUAAACUUGAUUUGUCCAUUAUGUAAAAGACAUGAUGGAUUUAACAACUUCAAAGAAAUCUAUAUUCCACUCUUAAUCAUACACUAAACACCUGAAUAUUUAUUUUAUCACAUCCACUCACAAAAUAAAUAGUAGUCUAAUAUAUUCGGCACACUGAAAAUAAAACAACCAGUCUCUCUUCAUAUAUUUAUUCUCUUUCCAAAAAUGUUUUGGUCUCCUGCUAUAUCUCAGAAAUGUACUAAUAGCUGCUUUAGUUACAAAAUACAAAAUAACAAUUUAUCUCUUGGAGAAAAUCUUGGGGAUUACCAUUAAAAAAUGAAAAUUUGAGUUCCCAUAGACUUUCUUUUUGUUAACAGUCUUUGAACUUUCUCAUGGCACACAUGUAAGGCUGCCUGUGACAUGUGGUACCCUGGCCUCCAAAUGGACAUAAUUGCAUUUAUAGUUUAGAGAAAAUACAAAGACAAGUUCUGAAAGUAGCCUUUAAAGAAAGUGCCCUUUGCUUUGACAUAGAAACAUCAAAAGCAAGUUGGACUGUGCAAUCAGAGCCACAAGUUUUAUGAAAACUACUUUCCUUUCACAUCUUUUGUUAGAGAAUGCCACACCCAUGAUCAUGUAACAUUAUUAUAAUUGUGAAAUAACAUUAUUACAUUCGUGAAUUAACAUUACCCAAUAAAAGGCACAUCUUCAAAUAUUGAAUUAAGAAAAUCUAAAAAUCAAAACAGUAGAGAAUACAUUAAAAAUCAAGCACUUAAUUUGUAAACUUUGAGAAAAUAACAGCCUCUUCCAGUUUCUUCAAAGACUUGUAAGCUUUUUGUGGUCAGGAAGUGUAGAACAAAUUGGAAGACAGAACUUGGAAACAAGGCCAACAUUAAUUUAAAGGAUUUAUAAGAUCCUUUCUUCUUCUUCUUUUUAAAAAUGAGCCAGAAGUAUUCUUUUAUAAUGUUGAUACAGGUCAGCAUUUAUAAGAAAAUGCACUCAGAAGUGAUAGAUGUUACAACCUGACUCUUCCUACUAAAUCUAGCACUAUGAUUCCUUUCUGUACAAAUAAGUGCACCACAUCAUUAAGUGCUAGUAAAUUUUAAGCCACCAGAACUCUUUCAACUAUGAUAAGUACUUGAUUGUAAUUACAAAUUUCAGUCUGAAUAUUGGGAAAAAAAUCUAAGAAAAAACUUUUUUGGGGGGGCACAUGGAAGAGAAAAGAAUGUUCUAAACCUAUUUUAUUAAAUGGAACAUCCCACUACCCUUACUUAAAUCAAAUUCACUGAAAGUAUUUGAGAUGGGUGAGAGGAAGUGAUUGGAUUUUCUGCUACUAGUGUAACAUCUAUGUGAAGAGUUAUAGUGUUACUCCUAAUGAUGAAAACAUAUUUCACAGGAUUCCAACUUUAAAAUUAAAUCCUUAUACUUUCAAAAUUUGAAACUCAAUUCAAAUUGAAUUAAGUUUUAAAGGACUUGGUCAUAUGGUCCCAUUAAUGAAAACUAACAAUGGUAAUCUAUAAUACCUGAACUUAAAGAAUAAAGAUUUCGUGGAUAAAAAGGAAUAUAUGAAAAUGUCUGGGCAUGCCAAAGAGUAAGGAUUCUUUGUAGGGCAACCCCCCUUAUACUUCCUAUCCCCCACUGUCCAAUGGCUUAACCCAGAACAUUUAUUGUCCUACAAGCUUAUUUCUGACUGCCUCCAAUCCUCCAUAUUUGGAGUCAAGGACAAAUAAAUGCUCUAUAACAUCAUGUCUCAUUUUCUGUUGCUGACUGCCCUUGAGACUUGGCUUCCUUUCAGCCAGAUCCCAGGUCAGCCUGACGGGAAUUGCUGGAACUUGAGGCUUAAGUGAUAUAAUGUCUAUAGAUAUGACUUAAGAAUGAAAAUGAAGAAAGUUUCAAGCCAAAUAAAAUACCAAUAACAGGAAACACCCUUUUCUACCUGGGCUGGG